RNAcentral lists this transfer RNA (97 nucleotides) under Pisolithus tinctorius. Its description in RNAcentral is "tRNA-Lys". It matches the Rfam family "tRNA". From Rfam's summary of the family: Transfer RNA (tRNA) molecules are approximately 80 nucleotides in length. RNAcentral also lists the same sequence under 2 other names. The record is from RNAcentral. Lineage: Eukaryota; Fungi; Basidiomycota; Agaricomycetes; Boletales; Pisolithaceae.
GCCCGCCUAGCUCAAUUGGUCAGAGCGUCAGACUUUUACGGCGGGGGUGAUUCCCUUCGGAAUCUGAAGGCUGCGAGUUCGACCCUCGCGGUGGGCU